Molecule: ribosomal RNA, 465 nt
Filed under: uncultured Klebsiella sp.
Lineage: Bacteria; Pseudomonadati; Pseudomonadota; Gammaproteobacteria; Enterobacterales; Enterobacteriaceae
Description: bacterial SSU rRNA
Rfam family: Bacterial small subunit ribosomal RNA
Source: RNAcentral
CCUACGGGUGGCAGCAGUGGGGAAUAUUGCACAAUGGGCGCAAGCCUGAUGCAGCCAUGCCGCGUGUGUGAAGAAGGCCUUCGGGUUGUAAAGCACUUUCAGCGGGGAGGAAGGCGUUAAGGUUAAUAACCUUGGCGAUUGACGUUACCCGCAGAAGAAGCACCGGCUAACUCCGUGCCAGCAGCCGCGGUAAUACGGAGGGUGCAAGCGUUAAUCGGAAUUACUGGGCGCAAAGCGCACGCAGGCGGUCUGUCAAGUCGGAUGUGAAAUCCCCGGGCUCAACCUGGGAACUGCAUUCGAAACUGGCAGGCUAGAGUCUUGUAGAGGGGGGUAGAAUUCCAGGUGUAGCGGUGAAAUGCGUAGAGAUCUGGAGGAAUACCGGUGGCGAAGGCGGCCCCCUGGACAAAGACUGACGCUCAGGUGCGAAAGCGUGGGGAGCAAACAGGAUUAGAUACCCGGGUAGUC